AAGAUAAAAAUAUUUAAAGAUUUUUGGUGAAAGUUCCAUAUUUUUUGGAUUAAAAAUGAAAUUAUUAUGAAUAAAAGAAAAUAAAGGAAUUAAACAUAAAAUCAGAAAUUUAAAAGAAAAUAAAAAAAAACAAGGGCUAUCAGAUCUCCCUCAUUAAUUGAGGUGGCAGAUCUGAUGGCCAAAAGCGCGCAUUCCACCAACACUUGAGUCAAACGCAUGGCA
Molecule: long non-coding RNA, 222 nt
Filed under: Lathyrus oleraceus (garden pea)
Lineage: Eukaryota; Viridiplantae; Streptophyta; Magnoliopsida; Fabales; Fabaceae
Description: Pisum sativum (pea) long non-coding RNA (PSAT_LNC012689)
Source: RNAcentral